RNAcentral lists this ribosomal RNA (441 nucleotides) under uncultured bacterium. RNAcentral describes it as "partial 16S ribosomal RNA". It matches the Rfam family "Bacterial small subunit ribosomal RNA", at positions 338 to 795 of the family's 1533-position model. The record is from RNAcentral.
CCUACGGGAGGCAGCAGUGGGGAAUAUUGGGCAAUGGAGGAAACUCUGACCCAGCAACGCCGCGUGAAGGAUGAAGGUUUUCGGAUUGUAAACUUCUGUUGCGAGGGAUGAAGAAUGACGGUACCUCGUGAGGAAGCCCCGGCAAACUACGUGCCAGCAGCCGCGGUAAUACGUAGGGGGCAAGCGUUGUCCGGAAUGACUGGGCGUAAAGGGAGUGUAGGCGGCCUUUUAAGUUAUAUGUGAAAGCCCCCGGCUUAACCGAGGAACUGCAUAUAAAACUGGAGGGCUGGAGUGCAGGAGAGGUAAGCGGAAUUUCUAGUGUAGCGGUGGAAUGCGUAGAUAUUAGGAAGAACUCCGAUUGCGAAGGCAGCUUACUAAACUGCCACUGACAUUGAUGCUCGAAAGUGUGGGUAUCAAACAGGAUUAGAUACCCUUGUAGUC